AGCUUUGCGCAGUGGCAGUAUCAUAGCCAAUGGGGUUUAUCCGAGGCAUGAUUAUUGCUAAUUGAAAAA
Molecule: small nuclear RNA, 69 nt
Filed under: Erinaceus europaeus (western European hedgehog)
Lineage: Eukaryota; Metazoa; Chordata; Mammalia; Eulipotyphla; Erinaceidae
Description: U4 spliceosomal RNA
Rfam family: U4 spliceosomal RNA
About the family: U4 small nuclear RNA (U4 snRNA) is a component of the major U2-dependent spliceosome.
Source: Rfam by way of RNAcentral